GGUGGUUCUUGGGUGACGCACACUGGAAUCGGGCUCCCUCUUCUCUGGUUCCGGGUACAUCACCCAAGAACCUCA
Molecule: non-coding RNA, 75 nt
Organism: Myotis lucifugus (little brown bat)
Lineage: Eukaryota; Metazoa; Chordata; Mammalia; Chiroptera; Vespertilionidae
Source: Rfam